RNAcentral lists this ribosomal RNA (252 nucleotides) under uncultured delta proteobacterium. Its description in RNAcentral is "partial 16S ribosomal RNA". It matches the Rfam family "Bacterial small subunit ribosomal RNA", at positions 202 to 453 of the family's 1533-position model. Lineage: Bacteria; Deltaproteobacteria. The record is from RNAcentral.
UAAAGCCGUAAGGCGCGGUUGGAGCGGCCCAAAUCUCAUUAGCUAGUUGGUAGGGUAACGGCCUACCAAGGCAUCGAUGAGUAGCUGGUCUGAGAGGAUGAUCAGCCACACUGAUACUGGAACACGGACCAGACUCCUACGGGAGGCAGCAGUUAGGAAUUUUGCGCAAUGGGGGAAACCCUGACGCAGCAACGCCGCGUGAGUGAUGAAGGCCUUCUUGGUUGUAAAGCUCUUUUAGCAGGAACGAAUACA